This 1441-nucleotide ribosomal RNA is filed under the name uncultured organism. Its description in RNAcentral is "SSU rRNA". It matches the Rfam family "Bacterial small subunit ribosomal RNA". The record is from RNAcentral.
GCUAGCUACAGGCUUAACACAUGCAAGUCGAGGGGCAGCAUGGUCUUAGAUUGCUAAGACUGAUGGCGACCGGCGCACGGGUGAGUAACACGUAUCCAACCUGCCGUCUACUCUUGGACAGCCUUCUGAAAGGAAGAUUAAUACAAGAUGGCAUCAUGAGUCCGCAUGUUCACAUGAUUAAAGGUAUUCCGGUAGACGAUGGGGAUGCGUUCCAUUAGAUAGUAGGCGGGGUAACGGCCCACCUAGUCUUCGAUGGAUAGGGGUUCUGAGAGGAAGGUCCCCCACAUUGGAACUGAGACACGGUCCAAACUCCUACGGGAGGCAGCAGUGAGGAAUAUUGGUCAAUGGGCGAGAGCCUGAACCAGCCAAGUAGCGUGAAGGAUGACUGCCCUAUGGGUUGUAAACUUCUUUUAUAAAGGAAUAAAGUCGGGUAUGCAUACCCGUUUGCAUGUACUUUAUGAAUAAGGAUCGGCUAACUCCGUGCCAGCAGCCGCGGUAAUACGGAGGAUCCGAGCGUUAUCCGGAUUUAUUGGGUUUAAAGGGAGCGUAGAUGGAUGUUUAAGUCAGUUGUGAAAGUUUGCGGCUCAACCGUAAAAUUGCAGUUGAUACUGGAUAUCUUGAGUGCAGUUGAGGCAGGCGGAAUUCGUGGUGUAGCGGUGAAAUGCUUAGAUAUCACGAAGAACUCCGAUUGCGAAGGCAGCCUGCUAAGCUGCAACUGACAUUGAGGCUCGAAAGUGUGGGUAUCAAACAGGAUUAGAUACCCUGGUAGUCCACACGGUAAACGAUGAAUACUCGCUGUUUGCGAUAUACGGCAAGCGGCCAAGCGAAAGCGUUAAGUAUUCCACCUGGGGAGUACGCCGGCAACGGUGAAACUCAAAGGAAUUGACGGGGGCCCGCACAAGCGGAGGAACAUGUGGUUUAAUUCGAUGAUACGCGAGGAACCUUACCCGGGCUUAAAUUGCAGAUGAAUUACGGUGAAAGCCGUAAGCCGCAAGGCAUCUGUGAAGGUGCUGCAUGGUUGUCGUCAGCUCGUGCCGUGAGGUGUCGGCUUAAGUGCCAUAACGAGCGCAACCCUUGUUGUCAGUUACUAACAGGUUCCGCUGAGGACUCUGACAAGACUGCCAUCGUAAGAUGUGAGGAAGGUGGGGAUGACGUCAAAUCAGCACGGCCCUUACGUCCGGGGCUACACACGUGUUACAAUGGGGGGUACAGAGGGCCGCUACCACGCGAGUGGAUGCCAAUCCCCAAAACCUCUCUCAGUUCGGACUGGAGUCUGCAACCCGACUCCACGAAGCUGGAUUCGCUAGUAAUCGCGCAUCAGCCACGGCGCGGUGAAUACGUUCCCGGGCCUUGUACACACCGCCCGUCAAGCCAUGGGAGCCGGGGGUACCUGAAGUGCGUAACCGCGAGGAGCGCCCUAGGGUAAAACUGGUGACUGGGG